This is a long non-coding RNA of Canis lupus familiaris (dog), 975 nucleotides long. RefSeq lists it as uncharacterized. The transcript is spliced from 3 exons. Lineage: Eukaryota; Metazoa; Chordata; Mammalia; Carnivora; Canidae. The record is from RefSeq and is a predicted model, not a curated record.
CCUAUGAGCCGUGCACAGUGCUGUGCCCCGGAAGUAUAAAACACUGGCCUCCCGGAGCUAAGCUAAACUGUUCACUCACUGCGAUGACGAGCACACCCACUGACGUGAGCGGCUUGCUCUGUGACUGUGUUAUUAUGGGCCUGGAGGAGAACCCCGACAAGGAAAAGCAGCAGAGUCCAAAUCCCCCAGAGACCCCUUGAAUGCAUUUACUCUACACACUGUGGCACUGGAAACCUCUUGAGUACCAUUCAGGAGUUCAGGCAUGCUCCUCUGACUGUGUUCCUUCUGAAAUAAAGUUGGCAAGAGGCUGGGAACAUCGUGGUACCCAUAGCCAGUGUCAUUUCUUCAAACAGAGUGACCCUGUUGAUGAAGAAGUGAAGUAUAGAAUUCCAUCUCUUCAAAGUGGGAUCAAAUGUGGUUAAAAGAUAUUUCGAUAAGAGCUCUAGGUGGAUGACUUUGGAAGCAAGAAGGCAGCACACAACACUGACGGCAAUCCUAAAAGCCAGAGACGUUCAUUGCAGGAUGUGUGGGAAAGCCAAGGAAAAGGAGGGGCUCCAAAGAAGAGCAAUCCCUUGCAGGUAGGGAGAUACAAAGUUAAUGGGAAAGAGGACAGUAUGGAAAAGCAAGGAGGUCCCACGAGUGACCUAUUUUCCCAAAUUUCCCUGUAUUGUGUCUCCAGAUAUCAAAUGAUGUCAAGAAUGUACGGUGUCCAUAAAGAAAAGAUAAUAUCCACAGAUUCUAAGUGGUGAGCGAUUGUGAGUUAAUUAAGUGAGAUAGAGGCCGAAAGAUUAUAUACACUACAAUCAACUUCAACAGGAACAAUUAUUUAUCCUAAACUUCACACUACUAAAAAAAAAAAAAUCUUAUGUCAGGGCACAUUGCUACAUAACUAAAAUACUCAAUCGAGGACUCGUAUCAUAUCUGAAAAGUGGAAUCACACAUCAUGAGAGAGCAAACAAAUUUGUGAGAUCUUGG